RNAcentral lists this ribosomal RNA (460 nucleotides) under uncultured bacterium. RNAcentral's name for it is "partial 16S ribosomal RNA". It matches the Rfam family "Bacterial small subunit ribosomal RNA", at positions 338 to 795 of the family's 1533-position model. The record is from RNAcentral.
CCUACGGGAGGCAGCAGUGAGGAAUAUUGGUCAAUGGACGAGAGUCUGAACCAGCCAAGUAGCGUGAAGGAUGACUGCCCUAUGGGUUGUAAACUUCUUUUAUAAAGGAAUAAAACGAGGCACGUGUGCCUUUUUGCAUGUACUUUAUGAAUAAGGAUCGGCUAACUCCGUGCCAGCAGCCGCGGUAAUACGGAGGAUCCGAGCGUUAUCCGGAUUUAUUGGGGUUAAAGGGAGCGUAGAUGGGUUGUUAAGUCAGUUGUGAAAGGUUGCGGCUCAACCGUAAAAUUGCAAUUGAUACUGGCAGUCUUGAGUACAGUUGAGGGAAGCGGAAUUCGUGGUGUAGCGGUGAAAUGCUUAGAUAUCACGAAGAACCCCGAUUGCGAAGGCAGCUUACUAAACUGUGACUGACAUUGAUGCUCGAAAGUGUGGGUAUCAAACAGGAUUAGAUACCCUUGUAGUC